Molecule: ribosomal RNA, 499 nt
Filed under: uncultured bacterium
Lineage: Bacteria
Description: partial 16S ribosomal RNA
Rfam family: Bacterial small subunit ribosomal RNA
Source: RNAcentral
GACGAACGCUGGCGGCGUGCCUAAUACAUGCAAGUCGAGCGAAGUUUUUCUGGUGCUUGCACUAGAAAAACUUAGCGGCGAACGGGUGAGUAACACGUAAAGAACCUGCCUCAUAGACUGGGACAACUAUUGGAAACGAUAGCUAAUACCGGAUAACAGCAUUAACUGCAUGGUUGAUGUUUAAAAGUUGGUUUUGCUAACACUAUGAGAUGGCCUUGCGGUGCAUUAGCUAGUUGGUGGGGUAAAGGCCUACCAAGGCGACGAUGCAUAGCCGACCUGAGAGGGUGAUCGGCCACACUGGGACUGAGACACGGCCCAGACUCCUACGGGAGGCAGCAGUAGGGAAUCUUCCGCAAUGGGCGAAAGCCUGACGGAGCAACGCCGCGUGAGUGAAGAAGGAUUUCGGUUCGUAAAGCUCUGUUGUUAGGGAAGAAUGAUUGUGUAGUAACUAUACACAGUAGAGACGGUACCUAACCAGAAAGCCACGGCUAACUACGUG